CUAGCUACUCCCGAUACCCCUUAUUUUUCUCUCCGGCGCUGCCCUUGCCUUCGUCUCCGGCGCUGCCCCCAUCUCCCUCCUCUCCGGCGGCUGAAAGCCACGAAUCGGACUUCCUUGACGCCAACGGCCACGUUCCAGAAGGCCUACCUCCUCUCCGGCGUCCCGAGGUAGUUUCUCCUACUCCAUUCUCUCCCUCCGUCUCGCUUGUUCUCCUCCUUCUCCUCCUUCCUCAACACGCUCCUUCUCCUCUUCUUUGGUAUAAGCCUUGAUCGAGCUUCGUCCUCGAGAAUCACACCAACUAUGGCAAAAAUAUGUUUUAACAAGAUCGGAGCAGCUCAAACUAGGUUAGUGCCUCCUUUGUAAUGGAGAUGAGCAACAUUUGAUAUUAGAGACAUCAAUAUGUGCUGUAAACGAUAAGCCACCUACUAAAUUUUUUCUCUGCGGAGAAGAUGGAUUAGGAUCGACAAGAUCGUGCCUACUGUCUAGACUCUUUUCAGCACUUCUGGGUUACUAAUAGA
RNAcentral lists this long non-coding RNA (518 nucleotides) under Phoenix dactylifera (date palm). RNAcentral's name for it is "long non-coding RNA (PDAC_LNC014480)". The record is from RNAcentral. Lineage: Eukaryota; Viridiplantae; Streptophyta; Magnoliopsida; Arecales; Arecaceae.